CCUACGGGAGGCAGCAGUAGGGAAUAUUGCACAAUGGGGGGAACCCUGAUGCAGCGACGCCGCGUGCGCGAUGAAGUAUUUCGGGAUGUAAAGCUCUAUCAGCAGGGAAGAAAAUGACGGUACCUGACUAAGAAGCCCCGGCUAACUACGUGCCAGCAGCCGCGGUAAUACGUAGGGGGCGAGCGUUAUCCGGAUUUACUGGGUGUAAAGGGAGCGUAGACGGAUGUGCAAGAGUGAAGUGAAAGGGAUGGGCUAAACCUGUUGACUGCUUUGGAAACUGUGCGGCUUGAGUGUCGGAGAGGUAAGUGGAAUUCCUAGUGUAGCGGUGAAAUGCGUAGAUAUUAGGAGGAACACCAGUGGCGAAGGCGGCUUGCUGGACGAUGACUGACGUUGAGGCUCGAAAGCGUGGGGAGCAAACAGGAUUAGAUACCCGUGUAGUC
This 440-nucleotide ribosomal RNA is filed under the name uncultured bacterium. RNAcentral describes it as "partial 16S ribosomal RNA". It matches the Rfam family "Bacterial small subunit ribosomal RNA", at positions 338 to 795 of the family's 1533-position model. The record is from RNAcentral.